CUGAAGAAUGAAGAGGGUGAGCGGUGUACUAAGGGGGAGUGUGUGUGUGUGAGAGAGAGAGAGAGAGAGAGAGAGAGAGCGCGCGCUCUCGCCCAGUGAUGGCUGUGGUGAUACUGGGGAAUUAUACUGCUGCAGGUAUGGAGAGGAGCCAGUUAGCACCAGAGCUGAGAUCAGAGAAGGAAAAAGAGCCGGAAGAAGUGGGGUAUUCCCAAUCUGAAUAUUAAAGAAGUGCAGGAGAGACACUGAGCAGCUACAGACCAUCUGUCCGUGGGAGUAAGUAAACCAACAAAAGAGCAAGACGAGUAAAGACUGCAUGAAAACAUCUAUGCUCAAACAUUCUCCCAGAAUAACACAGCCUCCAUCCUAGAGACUAGGCCAAAUAAAACCUGAGAUAUUUUUGUAAGAGGCCAGCUCUAGCAAGGCAACUGGCAGGUACUGUAAGGGUGUCUCUAAAACUAGGACAAAAUGCCUAGGUUUUUUCAAUUGAUACUUCAUGAUAUCAUAGAUCCAUGAUAGAUGUUUACAGCAUGCACUGUACCUUAACACACUAUGGAUGGAAUUGAACAUCUUGGGUAACGUUCCCAUAUUUGCUGUUUGCAGAUACCAUGGCCAAGAUUUUCAAUUGUGGGUCCCUAUACUUCAGCACAAAACCCCAUAUUUAUACAUCUAAAUAAAAGGGCUCCACUGAAAAAACAAUAGGGCAAAGAGCCCACAGCUCCCACAAACUCAGCUCCUUAGCAAACUUUUUACACCCAUUUAGACCACAAUCAGCAAAUGUGGCCAAGAAAAGACAGCUAGGCCUGAAGAGCGCAGAGAUCCAGACAACGAGGUGUGUGAUUUCCAACUGCUGCACAUACAGUGGAUGGCAGAAAGGCUCCCAAAGGAAAAAUGUUUUGUUGAUGAGUAUCGCCGCAGCUGCAAUUUCAAAACAGCAGGACAACAGUUGUGUACAUUGGCCUGCUUCAGGAAGCCUGUUCUGACAUCUGUGAAAGUACGUUGUGUGUCAAUACCCUCCCUAAGUUCACAGCCAAAGGGGGAAAAACCACUACAGACAGUGAACUUUUCAUGUAUCAAAAUGGUGUUAUUAACAAGUGGUCUCUCUCUGGGUCUCCAUUUAAGGAGGGGCCUGGUAUUAUACAGGGCAGUGGAAGGGGGGUCUAUGGGUGGGGGCUGUCAUGAGGCCAGUGCUUUGAAAAGGUGAAGUGAACUUUCGGUGGUGGGUUGGGGGAGUGGAAAUCAUGACCCUUAUGAUAAGGUAUGAAAUAUCUGGGGUCACAUCUUGUGCCUGUAUGCACGUGCAUAGGGCCGCUGAAAUGUAUACCGCUCCUUGCAUGAGUAAGCUGAGCAGGAUUUGAUCCUUUACUAUCUAAGCAACAUACACUAGGUUCCUAUUGGGCCUAUCAUUUCUAAGCAGACUUAUCUCCAUUGACUGCAGCUGGGAUUUCGGCUUAAAAAUGAAUGAUCCGAAGUAUCUAUUGGGACCCGGCAACUGGAGCGGUGGGUGCUCAGCACUUAACAGGCUCUGCACGGCAUCUUGUGCGGUUAGGCUCUUAGGACUAAAAUAUGAGAUUAAGUUGCUAUUCAUUUUUAAUCAUAUUGCAAGAAACCCCAUGAAUAAGAGAGGAAGGCUGGUCUUGUGUUGACAGCUUCGGUGUUGCACUUAGGAGCCUAGCUCUGCCACUGAGUUCCGGUGUGACCGUAGGCGAGUCACUCAAUCUCUAUCUCCACUUCCCCUCUGCAAAAUGAGUAUAAAGUUACCUCCUUUCUCCUGGU
Dermochelys coriacea (leatherback sea turtle) is the source of this 1773-nucleotide long non-coding RNA. RefSeq lists it as uncharacterized. The record is from RefSeq and is a predicted model, not a curated record. Lineage: Eukaryota; Metazoa; Chordata; Testudines; Dermochelyidae. The transcript is spliced from 4 exons.